This 468-nucleotide ribosomal RNA is filed under the name uncultured bacterium. RNAcentral describes it as "partial 16S ribosomal RNA". It matches the Rfam family "Bacterial small subunit ribosomal RNA", at positions 28 to 507 of the family's 1533-position model. The record is from RNAcentral.
GACGAACGCUGGCGGCGUGCUUAACACAUGCAAGUCGAACGGAAAGGCCCUGCUUUUGUGGGGUGCUCGAGUCGCGAACGGGUGAGUAACACGUGAGUAACCUGCCCUUGACUUUGGGAUAACUUCAGGACACUGGGGCUAAUACCGGAUAGGAGCUCCUGCUGCAUGGUGGGGGUUGGAAAGUUUCCGCGGUUGGGGAUGGACUCGCGGCUUAUCAGCUUGUUGGUGGGGUAGUGGCUUACCAAGGCUUUGACGGGUAGCCGGCCUGAGAGGGUGACCGGCCACAUUGGGACUGAGACACGGCCCAGCCUCCUACGGGAGGGAGCAGUGGAGAAUAUUGCACGAUGCGCGGAGGCCUGAUGCAGCAACGUCGCGCGCGGGAUGACGGCCUUCAGGUUGUAGACCGCUUUCGCCUGUGACGAAGCGAAAGUGACGGUAAUGGGUAGACAAGCACCGGCUAACUACGUG